RNAcentral lists this ribosomal RNA (558 nucleotides) under Lactococcus lactis. RNAcentral describes it as "bacterial SSU rRNA". It matches the Rfam family "Bacterial small subunit ribosomal RNA", at positions 167 to 709 of the family's 1533-position model. Lineage: Bacteria; Bacillati; Bacillota; Bacilli; Lactobacillales; Streptococcaceae. The record is from RNAcentral.
UACCGCAUAAAAACUUUAAACACAAGUUUUAAGUUUGAAAGAUGCAAUUGCAUCACUCAAAGAUGAUCCCGCGUUGUAUUAGCUAGUUGGUGAGGUAAAGGCUCACCAAGGCGAUGAUACAUAGCCGACCUGAGAGGGUGAUCGGCCACAUUGGGACUGAGACACGGCCCAAACUCCUACGGGAGGCAGCAGUAGGGAAUCUUCGGCAAUGGACGAAAGUCUGACCGAGCAACGCCGCGUGAGUGAAGAAGGUUUUCGGAUCGUAAAACUCUGUUGGUAGAGAAGAACGUUGGUGAGAGUGGAAAGCUCAUCAAGUGACGGUAACUACCCAGAAAGGGACGGCUAACUACGUGCCACAGCCGCGGUAAUACUUAGGUCCCCGAGCGUUGUCCGGAUUUAUUGGGCGUAAAGCGAGCGCAGGUGGUUUAUUAAGUCUGGUGUAAAAAGGCAGUGGCUCAACCAUUGUAUGCAUUGGAAAACUGGGUAAACUUGAGUGCAGGAAAGGAGAGUGUAAUUCCCAUGUGUAGCGUGAAAUGGCUUAAAUAUAUGGAGGAACAC